CCCUUAGAUGUUCUGGGCCGCACGCGUGCUACACUGAGUGGAUCAGCGGGUCAGGUUGCGCGAAAGUGUUUCCUAAUCUUGAAAUCCGCUCGUGAUGGGGAUUGACGGUUGCAAUUUUCCGUCAUGAACGAGGAAUACCUUGUAAGCGCGGGUCAUCAUCCCGCGCUGAAUACGUCCCUGCCCUUUGUACACACCGCCCGUCGCUCCUACCGAUUGAGUGGUCCGGUGAGGCUUUGGGAUCUGAGCAAAGAGAGCGUUUCGCUCGUUUUGCCCGGAAAACUCAGUCGAACCUUAUCAUUUAGAAGAAGGAGAAGUCGUAACA
Molecule: ribosomal RNA, 322 nt
Filed under: uncultured eukaryote
Lineage: Eukaryota
Description: partial 18S ribosomal RNA
Rfam family: Eukaryotic small subunit ribosomal RNA
Source: RNAcentral